UACGGGGGGUGCAAGCGUUGUUCGGAAUUACUGGGCGUAAAGGGCGCGUAGGCGGCUUGAUAAGUCAGUCGUGAAAUCUCCGGGCUUAACCUGGAAGGGUCGAUUGAUACUGUCGAGCUAGAGUGCGGAAGAGGCAAUCGGAAUUCCGUGUGUAGCGGUGAAAUGCGUAGAUAUACGGAGGAACACCGGCGGCGAAGGCGGAUUGCUGGGCUGACACUGACGCUGAGGCGCGAAAGCUAGGGGAGCAAACAGG
RNAcentral lists this ribosomal RNA (253 nucleotides) under uncultured bacterium. Its description in RNAcentral is "partial 16S ribosomal RNA". It matches the Rfam family "Bacterial small subunit ribosomal RNA", at positions 524 to 776 of the family's 1533-position model. The record is from RNAcentral.